Molecule: transfer RNA, 29 nt
Filed under: Pristimantis matildae
Lineage: Eukaryota; Metazoa; Chordata; Amphibia; Anura; Strabomantidae
Description: partial tRNA-Leu
Source: RNAcentral
GUUAAUGUAGCAAAUCUAGGCCUUGCAAA